GUGUAAUUUACAAUCUAUACAUAAUGGUACAAUAAGUAAAUCUGAAAAUAAUUAAAAGGAGGCGGUGAAAAAAGACAGUGAGUAGAAAUUUUACAUUAGAAAUUUCUACGUGGAAGUUAAUUUAGGGGGGUUGUGUAUUAAACAUGUUAUGCUAUAUGUGCGUUGAGAAGAUCUCUGGGCCAUUCACGUUUGAGGCGUCUGUCUUGGAUGUCCGGAAGAGCAUUGGUAUGAAGUUGAGCAAUGAGGGUAUUUGAAUGAUGUUCCAUAUUGGAGUGGAGUCGAAGAUAAUAUUUUAUAGCUGUUCGUUUGAUGGUAGGGAUUUGGAGGUCGUUGUGAAGAGCAAGAUUUGUGACGUACCAAGGGGCUUUAGCAAUUGUGCGGAGGCAGAU
Molecule: non-coding RNA, 389 nt
Organism: Cinara cedri
Lineage: Eukaryota; Metazoa; Arthropoda; Insecta; Hemiptera; Aphididae
Source: the annotation of a GenBank genome assembly